Molecule: long non-coding RNA, 207 nt
Organism: Thalassophryne amazonica
Lineage: Eukaryota; Metazoa; Chordata; Actinopteri; Batrachoidiformes; Batrachoididae
Exons: 2
Source: RefSeq, a predicted model, not a curated record
UGGUGCCGUGUACCCGGAUGGGAGUGAGUUUAGGAGGGUGAGUGUAACGGAGGCCAGCAGGUGUCGCUGUGCAGAUGUAGUUAAUAAACCUUACUCCCAAUAGCUCAAAAGGAUUAUCUGGUCACAAGGCCAGAGCACUGGGUUGUAGCCUUCUGGUUAGAGUCCGACUUCCAUGCCAAGGAGCGUGAGUUUGCGUCCCAAGCGGAG